Molecule: long non-coding RNA, 4701 nt
Filed under: Sus scrofa (pig)
Lineage: Eukaryota; Metazoa; Chordata; Mammalia; Artiodactyla; Suidae
Description: lncRNA (ENSSSCG00005030964.1)
Source: RNAcentral
CUGUGGAAAAGUAAAAUUAUGCAAGAGCUUUUGAAUGUAAAGGCUGUGUGUGCUUUUUCCCUUUUUGUCUCUGUGUACCGGUUAUGUGAUGUUGCGUAACUGAGUACAGAGUAGGCGGUUAGCGUUUACUAUUGAUUUACACUAUGCCAUCUAAUGAAUUCAGAACACCGAAAAGAAAGGAGCAGGAGGGGGAGGGAGGAAAAAAGAGAGAGAGAGACAAGCAGGGAGAGAAAAAAGGAGGAAAAAAAUGGAUGGGAGCAAGAGCUCAUUUACAGAAACAAUUCUACUGCCUGGAAUAGUUUCAUUCUUAUUCCCUCUAGCUCUGACUUUCUGUUAUUGUUCAGGUCUCAGAAAAAUGGACUUGAGCUAGUGACCCCAAUAUUCCAAUCUUAUUUCUAAUGAGGAUUACUGGCAGGUGAAUGUCUGAAAGUACUAAUGUGUCAAAUUACUUGAAAGCAAUUCCACUAAACCAUCAGACUUCUCCAUAUGCACCUAUUUGUUAUUCUCUUGAUGCAUUUGGGAAUCAGUAUCUGUGAUAGCCCAUGCUAUGGUCCAACUAGUUUACCUAGUCAAAAAUAUCAUUUGAAAGAUACACAGGGAUAUCAACAGGACAAAGAAAUGUGUCAAUUUUGCCAUCUCCUUUAAAAAUUCAUGAAGAAAGCAUUUAGAAAUCUUUGAAUGGGUCACUAUUUUACUUUGGAAGAAUAUAUGCCACACAUUAUUUGGCUAAACAGAACAGCCCAAUGUAGGAAAAUGAAAUAGAAAUGGACAAUGAGGAAAGACUCUAAACUGAUGAACAUGCUUGUAAACAAAAUUUAAAUAUUUUCCUAUACUGUGCUUACAGAGGGCAUUUCAAAUUUGACUUCUGAUCUGGAUGACUACUGACAUCCCUAGUUCUCUGAGGCUUCCAGGGGCUUCCCAUGCCAUUCAAUGAGUUCCCAAAGCCGAGGCUAGAAAGUAAGGACGAAUUUGACUCUGCUGUUGAACAAGGACCAUCCCGUACCUGAGUGUCCUCCUGUGGCUCAGAACAGUCAUCAAAAUGAGAAAAAGAAACAGAAGUUCUCUUCAUUAGCAGCCAGCUAGAGAGCAAGGCAGGGGACUUGUACCCUUCCUGAAUGUGUGUUUGUAAACGAUGAAUGGAAAAAAAUCACAGGAGGUCAUCCAAAGGAAGGAACAAGAGUUUGGGGUUUCAAUUCUGAUCAUCCAAUGACUUUCUCUUUUCACCCAUUUUUGGCUUAGAAAAUAAUAAACAGAUGCCUACUCCAUCCAUUUUCUGGGUAUAUUUUAAUGACCAAUGGCCAUGUAUAUACAUGGUUCAUACCUAGGCACCUAGCAAAGUGUUUGGCACAUUCUUUAUGCUCAGCAAAUAUUUGUUGAAAUAGUAAAAUGAUUAUAGGAGAAAUAAAUAUCUCUGUAAAAAAAGGAUAGAAAAGCCUCAGAAAAUAUUUUCCAAUGAUUUACAGGAAAUCUUAGGCUAUACUUAGACUGCAGACAAAAUAAUGAUGUAGGUAAAGUAUCAAACAGUUAUUUGGGGAUCAGUGACUUUAGUUUCAUUUUAUUAGGGAAAAAAAGCUUAACAAAAAUUGUAAUACUGAUAAUAUUGGCAAAGUUUUGUGUCCAUUUCCACCAGCCCUUUGGACUAUUUUUCAUUUCAGUCUUGGGCACAGAAAAGCCCAUUUUAAUUUCCAUGGACAUAUUCUAAAGAAAAAGUCAUGGGAGAGCAAUAUAAUUCAUCUUUUAAAAAAUACUGAGAAGAAUGUAGCCAUUUAGUAAUGGGAGAGAAUAUAGCUUUUUGUUGAAGGGCAAGGCAGGUUGAGUUUUGAUUAGGUUAUGCAAAUUUAAAUUAAUAGAAGGUACUUUUUAUAAAGUGGGACUGCAAUCUUGUUAACUAAUCUGGGUGGGACUAAGCAUGUGAAACUUUUUUAAAGUUUUUUUUUUUUAAUUUGAUCAUUAGUAUAAUCUAAUCUAAUUCAGCAACUCCAUUCAAUAAGCAUCCUGACAGUACAUCAACAAGACCAUCCCACGUGCUAUUGUUCACUGCAUAGAUUCUUAAAAGUGGAUGAGAAUGUGCCUGGCUCCAUCAUUUUAAAUAUGAAAAUACAUAAAGCUGAAGCUUAUAUGGUAAUUUUCUCAAGGAUGUAUAUUUUGAGAUAGAUCUGGGAUUUGGACCUAAAGCUCAGAGUUCAUUUCUCCACAGCACAAAAUAAGUCAAAAGUUGCAUAAAAUAAAUCAUUUUAAAUGCUAUAAAGAUUUCAAAAUAUUUUUUUAAAGCCAAGGAGUCCUUACAUUAUGUAAAAUGUUCAUCUCGGAGUUAUAAUUAAUUUUCCAUCUUUAAUCUGAGUCUCCUCUUCAUUCUCUUUUCUUUCUCCUCUUACUCUUUAGAUCUUUGGAUAGAGUCUCUUUUACUCUAUUUCUCACUCAUUUAUCUCCAAACCUGACCUCAAAUUCUUCCCUUUUUCUCAUUUUUCAUCUGUUUCUCCAACUUUAUUAUUCUUCCUCAAAAAAUUAUUUUUUGUUUAUGUGUUUUGAGAUCCUCAGAAACCAUAAAGGAAAAGGUUGUAUUUAGUACUGUAUAAUACACAGGUCUUUGGUAUAUACUUAAAUUAAAAAACUGCAACAACGGAGUUCCCGUCGUGGCGCAGUGGUUAACGAAUCCGACUAGGAACCAUGAGGUUGCGGGUUCGGUCCCUGGCCUUGCUCAGUGGGUUAAGGAUACGGCGUUGCUGUGGCUCUGGCGUAGGCCAGUGGCUACAGCUCCGAUUCAACCCCUAGCCUGGGAACCUCCAUAUGCCGCGGGAGCGGCCCAAGAAAUAGCAACAACAACAACAACAACAACAAAAAGACAAAAGACAAAAAAAAAAAAAAAAAAACAAAAAAAACUGCAAAAAGCUGCCUGGACUUCUGCACUGUCAGGGAGGAGACUGAGCCUCCUGCUAUAAGGAAUCUCAUUGAGAUAGAGAGAAAAAGCUCACAAUUUCCAGACCCAACCAGUCAUCUUCCCACUACUCCAGGUCACCUUUCUGUUUCCUUUUCUUUCUUUCCAUUCCACCAUCACAACUAUUUCGAGGUUGAUUAUGGCUCAGCAGAAGAUCCAGAGAAACCCUAGUGCCUUAACUUGGUUUUUUGCAAAACUCUCAAUUCCAAAAAAAGAUGGAGAGUUGCAUACUAAAUUUGCAGUUAUACAGAAAGCAAAGUCUGACUUGGUUAAAAGAGAACUCAGACCAGAGAAAGAGAUCUCUGUAUAACAGAGGCUUUGCUGUCAGAAUCAUUUAGAUUGUAUCAUCUUCUCCCUUAUAAAGCUUAACUUUUAUGGGGUUUAUAAUUCAGCUAAAAUGAUAAAGCUCCAGGCUGAAAUGUAGCUCUAGCCAUCUUAGAGUGGGAGGUAUUUUCUACCUUAUUCUUUAGGAAAGAACAUAUAUAGCAAAUAUUCAGCCAUUUCAAUGACAUCUGGAUUCUGACCACCUACCUUUCCCUAAGAAAAAGUAGGUGCUAAUCAAGGAGCCUGAUCUACAGUGAGCUAAACUGAGCAACAUCCCCUGUGGAAUGAAGGACAUGAUAUUGGGAGAUAAAAGGAUGUUCUAUUAUUUUAAAAGGCUUAAUGUAUACACUUGGCUAGAUGUUUCAUUCCACUUUAUUGAUGUGAAUAGGAUUUCAGCAAUGCUUUGUUGAAAAGUCUCCCAUUAUUAUUUGCUAACUAGAAAACAUUACAAUUAUAGGAGGCAGAAAUUACCGUGGUUUCCUUAGCUGUCUUUCCUCCUCAUAAGCCCAUUCUCAGGGUAGCUAUAAGAUAUAAUUUUUAAAAAUCCUUGCUCUGACGUCUCUAGUAUUGGCUAUACUGUCUAAAGUACCAUACUAGGCCACAGUGGUGAAAAGGGAGAGGAGGAACUUCAACUAGAAGAUUUAAUUCAUUAUUUUUAAAAUUAAUUAAAAUUAAUAGACCAGAAGGAAACUAGCAUUUAUUGAGAACAUAUUAUCUGCUACAUACUUCAUUGAUAUUAUUCCAUUUAAUACAAAUCCCUUGUGAAGUAAGAGGGGCCUAAGUUUCAUAGAUUAGCAACCUGGUUACAGAGCUGUUAGCUAACUUGCUUAAGGACACUGAGCUAAUUAAAAAGUUGCGCAGGGGAGGCUCAGGAUCUGUUUGACUCCCAGGCCCACAUGUCCUAUAAGGUACUGUAACGCCAAAAGCAAAGUAUGAAGCUAUCUAACCAAAAAAAAUCUCCAUGUCAAUGAUGAGAACCACCACAGGCCCCAAGUAGGGGGUGGGAAGAAUAAAUGACUCCUAAAAAGAAAUAGAUUCUUGCUUUGCCCUCAAUUAUGAUAAAACCUUGUUUUCCAAAUGCAUAUUUGGAAAAUGUUCCUUGUCGUAGGUAAAGGAACAUACAAUUUCCCAGGAAACUUUAAAUCAGAACAGAUAUUUGAAUGUUUUAAAAUUUUCCUUUAAAGAUUUAUACUGGAUAAAAGUGAAAAAUACAAUGCAUAUAAAAUCCAAUGGUUAAUAUAUUGCUAUGUAUAUGUGUGUAUGUACAUACAAUUUUUUUCUCAUUACCAAAAUUUCUGGCAAUUACUAUAUAGUACUUGGCAAAAUCUAAACAAUGAACAUGUUGAGCCAGGAGAAAAGGAAAGAACAAGAAAAGGAGGAGGCGUGUGGGGGGGCAGAGUGUAAAGAUAAAGUUUUAUUAUUUUAAUUUGGCAAAUGAGUAU